Molecule: long non-coding RNA, 2157 nt
Organism: Myotis brandtii (Brandt's bat)
Lineage: Eukaryota; Metazoa; Chordata; Mammalia; Chiroptera; Vespertilionidae
Exons: 2
Source: RefSeq, a predicted model, not a curated record
AGAAUAAUUUUACUUAAAAUGUUUACAAAUGCUUAAGAAUUUUACCCAUACACAUAAAUGGAAGCAGUUUUUUUUAUUAUUAAGUGUGGUAUUCAGGUUAGAAAAAGUACCUCUCAAAGCGGAUUUCAGGCCCAAAAGGCCUGAGCUACAUCUGUCUGAUUGGUGUGUAACUAUCACACUGAAAAGAAAAAUCAAGCACAGCGAAUGGCAAACACAUAGUAAGUGUUCUAUAUAUAGUUGAUAAAAUUCUUUUAGUCAAUUCUCCUAUAUUGACUGCCUACUUUCUCCAGUUUGCUUUCUAAUCAUCAUCAGUUCACAUAUUUCUUAGGAAAGCUUUUUUUUUUGUCUCCCUUACCCUUGUCUCAAAAAGUCAAAGCCCCAUUACAAUUUUCUAUAAUACUCUGUGUACUCGUUAACAAGGAAUUAAUUGCUUGUUCAAUGUCUGACUGGCUCCACCAUUAGAAUGUUCCACAGGGGAAGGGAGCUGGCCUGUCUUGUUGACAGCUAUAUCUUUAUUACCUCUCACAAGUCUAGCACAAAGUAACUGUUCAAUAAACAUCAACUGUAGCAUCUCAAUGGUAAAUUCAAAAAUUAUGGAGCAAAACUAGAGGAAUAUGUUUUAACAUAUUAUCUAAUGAGAGCAUUUUCUUUCUUUUUUUUUAUGAGAGCAUUUUCUAUCAUCACAGCUGGGCAACCAGAAGCUAGUCCAGCAACUGGGAGUCAAGUUAAGAAGAGGGAUUCAAGUAGCAGAUCACCAUUAGAGCAUGAGGCCUGAGAAGAUAUGGAGAACAAUGCUAAUCCCACCUCCUGAUGAUAAAGUCCAUGGAAUGGCUAGAUCUGGUGACCAUCCCCAGGAUCUCACCCAGAUUCUCAGGAAACAGAUCUAGCUAGCAAAAUGAUUCUCAACCAGAAGAAUGCAAAUCACUGCUAGAAGUAACCCCAAUGUGUGUUCAAUUCAACACAAAGGCUAUCAGAGUUGUUCAGUAAAAAGCAGACUCCUAAGCCACAUAAAUACACAAACAUACUCACAAAACCAUCUGCCUUACAGAUUACAACACAUUAAACAGAUUAGGAAAUAUUCUGAAAAAUCCAGGGCCCUGGCUGGUGAUUUAAAUUACUUUAAAAUGGGAUAAAAAAGAAACAGAUAUAUCAACAAGUCUGCAUGCUCAUAAGUCAUCUAAAAUCUAGUGCAAAGUUUAUAUUCACUUACCACAUUUUAACUUAGAAGACAGAUGCCUGGUGAAAAGGACAUUGGUCUGAGUUAGAGCUGGAUUCAAAUCCCAGAUUUUCCACUAUCUUUGUUUAAUUAACUACUUUAUGCCUAGUUCCUGAAAUGGGGCAAAAAUAACCAUCUUGUUCAAUAUGCAUUUGGAGACUAUACAAAAAUCACCUACUUUGUGGAAAGUGAUCGAUAAGUCUAGGAAAUUUCUUUAACUCAAAGAAAGAUCCAGUUGACAAGCUUUUCUCCAAUAGGCAUUUGGCAAAAAGAAAAAUAUCAGUGACUCCUCAAUCUGUGAAUACAGUGACAGGUUAAAAAGUUACUUAUCUUUUUCUUUAUUUACUAUUUUGACUAUAAAAGUAUGUAUUUACACAAAAUAAUUUUAAAAUUUGAGUACCCAUUUUUUUUUUUUACAAAUGUGAACAAAUUUUAUGGGUAAUGCCAGUAAACAAAUUCAAGCCUCAAACACUAGCUAAUUGUAAUCUACAAUAUGUCUUUUACAAAAAUAGGUAAAUGUUAUUCUAGGAAUGUUUUAAAUUAAUUUGACAGUAGGAAGGCAGCAUGGUUUAAUAAAGACCUGGAUCCUGGUCAGGGAUCGACAACCACUCAGUCUAUUUUGAAGCCUCAGCAGCCCACAGGCAAAAUUAAGGUGAGGCCCUUAAAAGGUAAAAUUCUACAACUGUAAUAAAAAAAUCAUAUCUUUCCACCAAACAGAAAUUAUACACACAAAUAUCCUUCAUGAUCUGCCACUCCAACUUUAUCUCUUGCUUCUCGUCCUACUCCACCCUACAGUGUACUAGUAUACUCCAUCCAUACCGAACAAUAGGCAUAUGUUGUUUUAUUGCACUUUGCUUUAUUGAGCUUCAGAAAGGUUGCCUUUUUUAGAAAUUGAAGGCAAGACCCCACACACAGACCAGCAAAAAGAUGGUGACUCGUUU